Molecule: long non-coding RNA, 708 nt
Organism: Apis cerana (Asiatic honeybee)
Lineage: Eukaryota; Metazoa; Arthropoda; Insecta; Hymenoptera; Apidae
Source: RefSeq, a predicted model, not a curated record
GUGCUAGUGAGUGGACGUGUCGUCGCAGCCGGCUUCGAAAAUUCUACUACGCAAUUUAUUAGCUGAUCACUGGUAAUUUGAAAGGCGGGAAAAAUUUCAAUAUGGACGCCAACAUACUUUUUCAAGAAAUUUGAUGUUUCAUCUGCGUACUACAAUUAUUGUGAUCGCGCGCAAUGCGAUCGGUAGAUUCAGUGUUUGCUUCGUAACAGUUUUUUAAUAUUUUAGAGCACAAUAGCUCUAAUUAAAUUUAUUUAUCAAAGUCGGGAAAUUAGAGUCAGUGUUUGUUCGUCGAUUGUAAAUUAAACGGACGCGUUAAUAGUUUUUUAUUUUUUAUUUUUUUUUAUUUUUAAUAUUCGUUUUCGGUACAGAGUAGAAUCAGUGCUUCUCGAAGGAAUAAUGCAGUCAUCCAUCACGCGAAGAGGUGCCUGACUUUGCCGGUGUUAUGAACAUUUCUACUGGACUUUAAUUUUAAAAAAUAUUUGUGACCGCGUGCAAUGCGGUCUGUAGAUUCAGUGUUUGCUUCGUAACAGUUUUUUAAUAUUUUAGAGCACAAUAGCUCUAAUUAAAUUAUCAUAAUUAUUCGCGAAACUAGAGUCAGUGCUUGGUCGUCGCCUAUGUUUCAAAUCGACGCGAUGGUAGUUUAUUUUUAUUUUAUUUUUUUAAACAUUCGUUUUCGGUACAGGAUAGAGUCAGUGUUUCUCGAAGGAA